AGUCAUUACUAUAGGUGAAAUAGAUCAACCUGGGGAAGUUCUCAACUUGUCAAAUGAUCUCGGAGACUAUAGCAAGGUUGAACUGAAGAUCUGCUUAACUGAUUCCCUGGCUUAGUUCCAGCAUGUGCAAUGAUGCAGUUCUGAAGUGCCAAGUGCUUAAUCAUUAAGCUUGCUCUGGGACAAAAACAUUUUACAAGUUCCACUACACAAGUAUGUUGUUGAAUUCUCUUUGAAUGCAAGGCUUUUCAAGUUAAGAAGGCCCUUGCAAGACACCAGUACCUUGAUAUUUGACUUCCAGUCUCCAGAACUUGGAACCUGAACAGUCUGCUGAAGCACCUGAUGUUUGGCCUUCCUGAAUGUCAUGUAAUACGUACUUCACCAUCAAUUCAUACAGCAGAUAUCAUCAUACACAGUCCAGGUAUGAAGAUCUGGGCUCAGAGAGACUAAGUAAGUGAAUUGCCUGAAGACACAUUGUUGAGCUCUGUGUCUUCUUGACUAACACAUGAGGCCACCUCCUGGGGCUGUUUGAACUGUUUCUGCUGAUAGGGGAGGGCAUUUCUCCAGCCCUGCUUCUAGACUCCCUCUUAAUCUUCAGAUGGCCUCUCACCCAGUUGCAUGUUGAGUUAUCCUUUCAAAAGUGUACAUGCUUUCUCUGUGGAAGCUGUGGCAAAUUUCCAGACUUGGCAUCAGGUGGCUUUUGAUGAUUCUCAAAGAUAAUAUUCAUCUAACAUGAAUACAUUUUACUGCUCCUGGGGACACCUAUAAGAAUGCCCCACUGUGGCCGGGCACAGUGUCACGCCUAUAAUUCCAGCACUUUGAGAGGCCAAGGGGGGCAGAUCACCUGAAGUCGGAAGUGUGAGACCAGCCUGACCAGCGUGGAGAAACCCCAUCUCUACUAAAAAUACAAAAUCAGCCGGGCAUGGUGGCGCAUGCCUGUAAUCACAGCUACUCAGGAGGCUGAGGCAGGAGAAUUGCUUGAACCCGGGAGGCGGAGGUUGUGGUAAGCUGAGAUUGCAACAUUGCACUUCAGCCUGGACAACAAGAGCAAAACUCCGUCUCGAAACAACAACAACAACAACAGCAACAACAACAAAAUGCCCCACUGCCUAAAAAUAUAUCCUAAACACGAAGUUCAAAAAUGUUUUAAUCAAUGAAAGCAAAAAUAAAAUGUGUGUGGAGCUUCCCAAAGGUAAAA
This is a long non-coding RNA of Homo sapiens (human), 1195 nucleotides long. RefSeq annotates it as long independently transcribed non-coding RNA 1853. The record is from RefSeq and is marked validated. Lineage: Eukaryota; Metazoa; Chordata; Mammalia; Primates; Hominidae. The transcript has 6 exons.